GGCAAGGGCGGCGUCCUAUACAUGCAGUCGAACGAACUCUGGUAUUGAUUUAGGUGCUUGCAUCAUGAUUUACAUUUGAGUGAGUGGCGAACUGGUGAGUAACACGUGGGAAACCUGCCCAGAAGCGGGGGAUAACACCUGGAAACAGAUGCUAAUACCGCAUAACAACUUGGACCGCAUGGUCCGAGUUUGAAAGAUGGCUUCGGCUAUCACUUUUGGAUGGUCCCGCGGCGUAUUAGCUAGAUGGUGAGGUAACGGCUCACCAUGGCAAUGAUACGUAGCCGACCUGAGAGGGUAAUCGGCCACAUUGGGACUGAGACACGGCCCAAACUCCUACGGGAGGCAGCAGUAGGGAAUCUUCCACAAUGGACGAAAGUCUGAUGGAGCAACGCCGCGUGAGUGAAGAAGGGUUUCGGCUCGUAAAACUCUGUUGUUAAAGAAGAACAUAUCUGAGAGUAACUGUUCAGGUAUUGACGGUAUUUAACCAGAAAGCCACGGCUAACUACGUGCCAGCAGCCGCGGUAAUACGUAGGUGGCAAGCGUUGUCCGGAUUUAUUGGGCGUAAAGCGAGCGCAGGCGGUUUUUUAAGUCUGAUGUGAAAGCCUUCGGCUCAACCGAAGAAGUGCAUCGGAAACUGGGAAACUUGAGUGCAGAAGAGGACAGUGGAACUCCAUGUGUAGCGGUGAAAUGCGUAGAUAUAUGGAAGAACACCCAGUGGCGAAAGCCGCUGUCUGGUCUGUAACUGACGCUGA
This 752-nucleotide ribosomal RNA is filed under the name Lactiplantibacillus plantarum. Its description in RNAcentral is "bacterial SSU rRNA". It matches the Rfam family "Bacterial small subunit ribosomal RNA", at positions 28 to 749 of the family's 1533-position model. The record is from RNAcentral. Lineage: Bacteria; Bacillati; Bacillota; Bacilli; Lactobacillales; Lactobacillaceae.